Molecule: long non-coding RNA, 389 nt
Organism: Scylla paramamosain (green mud crab)
Lineage: Eukaryota; Metazoa; Arthropoda; Malacostraca; Decapoda; Portunidae
Exons: 2
Source: RefSeq, a predicted model, not a curated record
UUCGAAAUAAUAAGUGAAGCGGAGCGGUUCACUCCCGCCAGUGUCGUCGGGUCUAUUCUGUGGUGCACCCGUGCUUGGGGUUCUGUGCCUUCUUGAAAGAUUGUGGACAAGGUGAAGCAGAAAUGCUUAAGCCCUACCAAUAUCGUGUUCCCAGCAGUCUAGCGGAUGCUGUCAGUGGUGCAGGAUCGUUGAAGUCUUGUGGUCUUGGCGAAGGAAGUAAUGGCGAAGGGAACAAGUGGUGAGCAGCUGAGGAAGAAGUGGCUGGCUGUGCGAUGGCUACGUGAAGGCGAUAACGGAAGGCGGCGAUGAGGAGCGCAACAUCUGUCAGUCUGUCAGCUUUUCUAAACACAUCUCGUUAAGCUGAACGAUAAAAAAAAAAAAAAAAGCUA